UUUUAAAGGGCCGCGGUAAUCUGACCGUGCGAAGGUAGCAUAAUCAUUAGUCUUUUAAUUGAAGACUUGUAUGAAAGGUUGAAUGAGGGAUAAGCUGUCUYUUCUUUAUUAUCAGAAUUUAACUUUUAAGUGAAAAGGCUUAAAUUUUUUGGGGUGACGAUAAGACCCUAUAAAACUUUAUAUGAAGAAAUUAGUUUUAGAAUUCUAAGUCAAAAUUAACGACCUUUUUUCAUAUUUCGUUGGGGAGACGAAGAUAUAAAAUUCGAUAGCUGUCUGUAAAAYUUAAUAGUCUUUACUAGAUUUUGAUCCUUUAUUAUGGAUUAUAAGAUUAAGUUACUUUAGGGAUAACAGCGUAAUUUUCUUUGAGAGUUCUUAUCGACAAGAAUAGUUGCGACCUCGAUGUUGAAUUAAAAUUUCAGAUUGGUGUAGUCGCUUUUCUAGU
This 442-nucleotide ribosomal RNA is filed under the name Apopontonia falcirostris. RNAcentral describes it as "partial 16S ribosomal RNA". It matches the Rfam family "Bacterial large subunit ribosomal RNA", at positions 1921 to 2570 of the family's 2925-position model. Lineage: Eukaryota; Metazoa; Arthropoda; Malacostraca; Decapoda; Palaemonidae. The record is from RNAcentral.